CGACGUGCGGCGGGAGAGUCCCGCUCAGCAGUUGUGGAGCGGGCGCCGUAGGAGCAAUUCCUCCCCGGGAAACUCUCAGGCCCCCGUACCGCCGCACCGAG
RNAcentral lists this non-coding RNA (101 nucleotides) under Kocuria flava. RNAcentral's name for it is "Glycine sequence". It matches the Rfam family "Glycine riboswitch aptamer". From Rfam's summary of the family: This family represents the bacterial glycine riboswitch. Glycine riboswitches usually consist of two metabolite-binding aptamers domains with similar structures in tandem. Lineage: Bacteria; Bacillati; Actinomycetota; Actinomycetes; Micrococcales; Micrococcaceae. The record is from Rfam by way of RNAcentral.